AGUGAACGCUGGCGGUAGGCCUAACACAUGCAAGUCGAACGGCAGCACAGUAAGAGCUUGCUCUUACGGGUGGCGAGUGGCGGACGGGUGAGGAAUACAUCGGAAUCUACUUUUUCGUGGGGGAUAACGUAGGGAAACUUACGCUAAUACCGCAUACGACCUACGGGUGAAAGCAGGGGAUCUUCGGACCUUGCGCGAUUGAAUGAGCCGAUGUCGGAUUAGCUAGUUGGCGGGGUAAAGGCCCACCAAGGCGACGAUCCGUAGCUGGUCUGAGAGGAUGAUCAGCCACACUGGAACUGAGGCACGGUCCAGACUCCUACGGGAGGCAGCAGUGGGGAAUAUUGGACAAUGGGCGCAAGCCUGAUCCAGCCAUACCGCGUGGAUGAAGAAGGCCUUCGGGUUGUAAAGCCCUUUUGUUGGGAAAGAAAAGCAGCAGGUUAAUACCCCGCUGUUCUGACGGUACCCAAAGAAUAAGCACCGGCUAACUUCGUG
This 492-nucleotide ribosomal RNA is filed under the name uncultured bacterium. RNAcentral describes it as "partial 16S ribosomal RNA". It matches the Rfam family "Bacterial small subunit ribosomal RNA", at positions 29 to 507 of the family's 1533-position model. The record is from RNAcentral.